RNAcentral lists this ribosomal RNA (430 nucleotides) under uncultured bacterium. RNAcentral describes it as "bacterial SSU rRNA". It matches the Rfam family "Bacterial small subunit ribosomal RNA", at positions 355 to 776 of the family's 1533-position model. The record is from RNAcentral.
UAGGGAAUUUUGCGCAAUGGGGGAAACCCUGACGCAGCGACGCCGCGUGAGUGAUGAAGGCCUUCGGGUUGUAAAGCUCUGUCAAGAGGGACGAAUGACCAUAGUUCUAACAGGACUGUGGAGUGACGGUACCUCUGGAGGAAGCACCGGCUAACUCUGUGCCAGCAGCCGCGGUAAUACAGAGGGUGCAAGCGUUAUUCGGAAUUACUGGGCGUAAAGCGCAUGUAGGUGGGUUAGUAUGUCAGUUGUGAAAUCCCGGAGCUUAACUUCGGAAUGGCAAUUGAAACUGCUAAUCUUGAGAUUGGGAGAGGAUGGUAGAAUUCUUGGUGUAGAGGUGAAAUUCGUAGAUAUCAAGAGGAAUACCUGGGGCGAAGGCGGCCAUCUGGCCCAAGACUGACACUGAGAUGCGAGAGCGUGGGUAGCAAACAGG